Long non-coding RNA from Marmota monax (woodchuck), 599 nucleotides. RefSeq lists it as uncharacterized. The transcript is spliced from 3 exons. The record is from RefSeq and is a predicted model, not a curated record. NCBI's taxonomy places the organism in Eukaryota, Metazoa, Chordata, Mammalia, Rodentia, Sciuridae.
AGGAAGCCUGGCCUUUAGGGACUGGCUUGGGGACGCCUCUGACGAUUAGAUGAAUAAAUCGAACUCAGGAUGGAGACUGGGCUAUUUUCUGAACGGUUCCGUUUUGAUAACCCUCUGAUGUGACGCUGAGUGAGGUGUUCCAUGGGUGAGAAAAGCAAUCAUGUAGCUCUGCAGAUGAGAAGUCUCAUUGGGCUAACAUCUGAGGGUCCGCCCGGCUGCAGUCCCUUCUGGAGGAUGAAGGGGAGAAUUUAUUUCCUCGCUUCUCCCGGACUCUCAGGCCACCCACGUUCCCUGGUUUGUGGCUGCUCCUGCAUCGUCAAGGCCAGCAAUGGCAGACCCCUCCAGACAAAGCCCGAUUUGUGAGACGGGGCCACGUUGGCAGGCACAGAGCUGCACACCUGUGAUCCCAGCAUUCCUGAGACUUUGGCCCAAGGAUCGCUUGAGCCCUGGAGUUUGAGACCAGCCUCGGCAACAAAGCAAGACCCUGUCUCCAACAAAACAAAAAGAGGCCAUUUUAAUGUUUUGUUUUGUUGUCAUUUUUCUUUCCACAACUUAAUAAAUCAUUCUCCUGGCGCUCGCGGGCUGUGUGGUUGAAUCCA